UCUUCACCCUGUGGGUGAAGAGCUUUCACAGCAAACACUGAUUGCGUUGGAAUCCCUGCUUUCUGCAGGAAGUAGGCUCUCCUCAGACUCUGGAGUGAGGGGUUCUUUUCCCUUUCGGUGUCCCCACAAUUUUCCUGAUGUCUGUCUUGCCUCAGAUAUGUGGGUUUUGAGAACUCAUCCCUUUGGCUCACAGGCCUUUCAUCCCGGGACCUCGUCAACAUUUAAUAAGAAACUUAUUUUUAACCCUAGAACUAAGGCUGGGCUCAGAUGAGGUUUUUGAGGGCUGUGGAAGGAGGAGGAAUCGUCGGUUCUGUACAUGAGAGAUGCAGGUACCUUGGACGGCCAGAAGAGGGCAUCAUUUCUCACCCGGAACUGGAGUUACAAGCGGUUUGUAUGCUACCCGAAAGGGUGCUGGAAACUGAAUUUGGGUCUUUUGAAAAAGCAGCAAGUGUUUGUAACCUCAAAGCCACCAAAGCAAACUACGGUGACUGGUCUCCAAAGACGACAUUCGACGGUCUCACUCUGUUGCUAUGGAUGACGGGGAAUCUGCUCCAGGAAGGUCUCUAACUCACGAGUGCUGGAAGUAACGGUCUGACCCACCAUGCCGAGCAAUGUUGCAAACAGCAGUACCAUCUGGGGACCUGGGAAGGACAGUUCUCAUCCAAGCC
This is a long non-coding RNA of Mus musculus (house mouse), 668 nucleotides long. RefSeq annotates it as predicted gene, 38879. The record is from RefSeq and is a predicted model, not a curated record. NCBI's taxonomy places the organism in Eukaryota, Metazoa, Chordata, Mammalia, Rodentia, Muridae. The transcript has 3 exons.